GUGCUUAUUUUAGCAGCACAUAUACUAAAAUUGGAACGAUGCAGAGAAGAUUAGCAUGGCCUCUGUGCAAGGAAGACACUCAAAUCUGUGAAGCAUUCCAUAUUAAA
Molecule: small nuclear RNA, 107 nt
Organism: Vulpes vulpes (red fox)
Lineage: Eukaryota; Metazoa; Chordata; Mammalia; Carnivora; Canidae
Source: Ensembl